This 253-nucleotide ribosomal RNA is filed under the name uncultured bacterium. RNAcentral's name for it is "partial 16S ribosomal RNA". It matches the Rfam family "Bacterial small subunit ribosomal RNA", at positions 524 to 776 of the family's 1533-position model. The record is from RNAcentral.
UACGUAGGGGGCGAGCGUUGUCCGGAUUCAUUGGGCGUAAAGCGCGCGUAGGCGGCCCCGCAAGUCGGCCGUGAAAUCUCCGGGCUCAACUCGGAGGGGUCGGGCGAGACUGCGGAGCUCGAGGUGGGCAGAGGGCAGUGGAAUUCCGGGUGUAGUGGUGGAAUGCGUAGAGAUCCGGAGGAACACCAGUGGCGAAGGCGGCUGCCUGGGCCUGGCCUGACGCUGAGGCGCGAAAGCUAGGGGAGCAAACAGG